GGGCGGAGUCCUCCUUGAGGUUGGAGUCAUGGGCGGAGUCCGGCUCCCGUGGGAGUCCGGGCGGAGUCCUCUCGGAGUUGAAGUCAUGGGCGGAGCCCGGCUCCCAUAGGAGUUCGGGCGGAGUCCCCCUCGGAGUCGUGGACGGAGCCCGCAAGGGUUAACCCCGUCGAGAACUUCGACCGUGGGUAUUUUAUACCCAACACCAGCCCCCUACUUUCGAGUUCGAAUUUCGAGCGAAGGAAGUACAGAGAGAUUGGCGCAGCCGAAGUCGUCCCCUCGAAUCCUACGCACGACCGCUUUCAGAUAUUUUGGGCAUUAAAUGUGCGCGUGCUGGAGUCUUUUCGAAUCGCGGUGAUACGAAGGGACCCUUCGAAUUUUCCGUCGGUACACUGGCCCAGGCAUGGCGCCAUAAUGACUCUGCCAAUCCGUCAGUCACUUUUAGCCGCCUG
Molecule: long non-coding RNA, 449 nt
Filed under: Elaeis guineensis (African oil palm)
Lineage: Eukaryota; Viridiplantae; Streptophyta; Magnoliopsida; Arecales; Arecaceae
Description: long non-coding RNA (EGUI_LNC060193)
Source: RNAcentral